This 76-nucleotide transfer RNA is filed under the name Pseudomonas sp. RNAcentral describes it as "tRNA-Phe". It matches the Rfam family "tRNA". From Rfam's summary of the family: Transfer RNA (tRNA) molecules are approximately 80 nucleotides in length. Lineage: Bacteria; Pseudomonadati; Pseudomonadota; Gammaproteobacteria; Pseudomonadales; Pseudomonadaceae. The record is from RNAcentral. RNAcentral also lists the same sequence under 6 other names.
GCCCGGAUAGCUCAGUCGGUAGAGCAGGGGAUUGAAAAUCCCCGUGUCGGCGGUUCGAUUCCGUCUCCGGGCACCA